This 253-nucleotide ribosomal RNA is filed under the name uncultured bacterium. Its description in RNAcentral is "partial 16S ribosomal RNA". It matches the Rfam family "Bacterial small subunit ribosomal RNA", at positions 524 to 776 of the family's 1533-position model. The record is from RNAcentral.
UACGGAGGGUGCAAGCGUUAUCCGGAUUUACUGGGUUUAAAGGGUGCGUAGGUGGUCAGGUAAGUCAGUGGUGAAAUCUUCAAGCUUAACUUGGAAACUGCCAUUGAUACUAUUUGUCUUGAAUUAUCUGGAGGUAAGCGGAAUAUGUCAUGUAGCGGUGAAAUGCUUAGAUAUGACAUAGAACACCCAUUGCGAAGGCAGCUUACUACGGAUAUAUUGACACUGAGGCACGAAAGCGUGGGGAUCAAACAGG